RNAcentral lists this ribosomal RNA (404 nucleotides) under Pseudomonas sp. Its description in RNAcentral is "partial 16S ribosomal RNA". It matches the Rfam family "Bacterial small subunit ribosomal RNA", at positions 355 to 776 of the family's 1533-position model. Lineage: Bacteria; Pseudomonadati; Pseudomonadota; Gammaproteobacteria; Pseudomonadales; Pseudomonadaceae. The record is from RNAcentral. RNAcentral also lists the same sequence under 2 other names.
UGGGGAAUAUUGGACAAUGGGCGCAAGCCUGAUCCAGCCAUGCCGCGUGAGUGGUGAAGGCCCUAGGGUUGUAAAGCUCUUUCACCGGUGAAGAUAAUGACGGUAACCGGAGAAGAAGCCCCGGCUAACUUCGUGCCAGCAGCCGCGGUAAUACGAAGGGGGCUAGCGUUGUUCGGAUUUACUGGGCGUAAAGCGCACGUAGGCGGACUUUUAAGUCAGGGGUGAAAUCCCGGGGCUCAACCCCGGAACUGCCUUUGAUACUGGAAGUCUUGAGUAUGGUAGAGGUGAGUGGAAUUCCGAGUGUAGAGGUGAAAUUCGUAGAUAUUCGGAGGAACACCAGUGGCGAAGGCGGCUCACUGGACCAUUACUGACGCUGAGGUGCGAAAGCGUGGGGAGCAAACAGG